GAUAUACAUAGUUACGUACAAAUGCGCUCCAGUCAUAACUGUCUACAAAUUCAAAUCCAUCGUUUGGUUUCGUUAAUUAGUUGAUGACGAAAGAAGGGGUGGACAAAAAUCUCCACAGAUCCUCCUCAUAACACUACUGAAUUCAAUUGCUGCAGUUGGAAUUGCACAAGGAGGCUCAAAGAUAACAGUUGAAGCUAUUCUCAAAUUGACUACAGUUUCAACUGCAGUAUUCGGAGAGGGUAACAUUAAACAAAGAUAAACUUACCUCCCUAAUAAUUUUCCAAAUAGAAAAAAUAUAUUUUUUUGCUAUUCUAUGGGGGGUAAUCUUAUCAUAUCACAUAUAUAAAAUGAUAAAAUUUAUAAAUACACUUGUCGACCGCACAUAACCAAAUAAAAUAUUUAUAGCUGCUGCACUUUCUACUGCAUCCAACCAAAUAAAAUCUAUAUAAUAUAAUUACUUUAUUUAUAACUGUAUGUAUCUCGAACUACACUGCAUUUAUAAUUAUACUAGAACAAACAGCGCGCCCCUCAGAUUCACUGAUCAAUUUA
RNAcentral lists this long non-coding RNA (549 nucleotides) under Ananas comosus (pineapple). Its description in RNAcentral is "long non-coding RNA (ACOM_LNC000389)". Lineage: Eukaryota; Viridiplantae; Streptophyta; Magnoliopsida; Poales; Bromeliaceae. The record is from RNAcentral.